This 251-nucleotide ribosomal RNA is filed under the name uncultured prokaryote. RNAcentral's name for it is "partial 16S rRNA". It matches the Rfam family "Bacterial small subunit ribosomal RNA", at positions 525 to 775 of the family's 1533-position model. The record is from RNAcentral.
ACGUAGGAGACAAGCGUUAUUCGGAUUUACUGGGCGUAAAGCGCGUGCAGGCGGUCUGACAAGUUGGAUGUGAAAGCUCCUGGCUUAACUGGGAGAGGUCGUUCAAAACUAUCAGACUAGAGAGUGGUAGAGGAAGGCGGAAUUCCGGGUGUAGUGGUGAAAUGCGUAGAUAUCCGGAGGAACACCAGUGGCGAAAGCGGCCUUCUGGACCAAUUCUGACGCUCAGACGCGAAAGCUAGGGUAGCGAACGG